Molecule: RNA transcript, 244 nt
Organism: Myotis davidii
Lineage: Eukaryota; Metazoa; Chordata; Mammalia; Chiroptera; Vespertilionidae
Exons: 3
Source: RefSeq, a predicted model, not a curated record
AGAAAGUUUGAGAAGCCUGGCUGUGUGAGGCGGGGAGGGACCACUGCUCUUCUAUUGUCAUUGCCUGCAAACCUCAGGGUUCAGAAAGUUACACUGGAUUGAUGGGAGUGCUGUAAAUUUUAGUAACUGGGCUCAUCAUCAUGGGCGUGGCCGCUGUGUGACCCUAUGCACUAGAGGAGGUCGCUGGCGACGAAAAUGUUGUAUAAGUCGCCUGCCCUUCAUCUGCUCCUACUAAGCCAGAAGC